This 504-nucleotide ribosomal RNA is filed under the name uncultured bacterium. RNAcentral describes it as "bacterial SSU rRNA". It matches the Rfam family "Bacterial small subunit ribosomal RNA", at positions 10 to 507 of the family's 1533-position model. The record is from RNAcentral.
AGUUUGGAUCCUGGCUCAGGAUGAACGCUAGCGGCAGGCUUAAUACAUGCAAGUCGUGGGGCAGCAGGUUUGUAGCAAUACAGAUGCUGGCGACCGGCAAACGGGUGCGGAACACGUACAGAACCUUCCUUUGAGCGGGGAAUAGCCCAGAGAAAUUUGGAUUAAUACCCCAUAGUAUAAUGAAGUGGCAUCACUUUAUUAUUAAAGAUUUAUCACUCGAAGAUGGCUGUGCGGCUGAUUAGGUAGUUGGCGGGGUAAAGGCCCACCAAGCCUGCGAUCAGUAACUGGUGUGAGAGCACGACCAGUCACACGGGCACUGAGACACGGGCCCGACUCCUACGGGAGGCAGCAGUAAGGAAUAUUGGUCAAUGGAGGCAACUCUGAACCAGCCAUGCCGCGUGGAGGAUGAAGGUCCUCUGGAUUGUAAACUUCUUUAUAUGGGACGAAAAAGGCUUUCUAAGUCGUCUGACCGUACCAUAUGAAUAAGCACCGGCUAACUCCGUG